ACAUGCAAGUCGAGGGGCAGCAUUUUUGAAGCUUGCUUCAAAAGAUGGCGACCGGCGCACGGGUGAGUAACGCGUAUGGAACCAACCCGCAACAGGGGGAUAACCCGGAGAAAUCCGGACUAAUACCGCAUGGUACUCUUUGCACAGAAGUGUGAAGAUUUAAAGAUGCGAAUCGGUUGCGGACGGUCAUGCGUUCCAUUAGCUAGUUGGCGGGGUAACGGCCCACCAAGGCGACGAUGGAUAGGGGUUCUGAGAGGAAGGUCCCCCACACUGGUACUGAGACACGGACCAGACUCCUACGGGAGGCAGCAGUGAGGAAUAUUGGUCAAUGGGCGAGAGCCUGAACCAGCCAAGUCGCGUGAGGGAAGACGGCCCUAUGGGUUGUAAACCUCUUUUAGAUGGGAGUAAAGUGUUCUACGAGUAGGAUAUUGCAAGUACCAUCAGAAUAAGCAUCGGCUAAUUCCGUGCCAGCAGCCGCGGUAAUACGGAAGAUGCGAGCGUUAUCCGGAUUUAUUGGGUUUAAAGGGUGCGUAGGCGGGUGAUUAAGUCAGCGGUGAAAUGCGUCAGCUUAACUGGCGAACUGCCAUUGAAACUGGUUACCUUGAGUGUAGCGGAAGUAUGCGGAAUGCGUGGUGUAGCGGUGAAAUGCAUAGAUAUCACGCAGAACUCCGAUUGCGAAGGCAGCAUACCAUACUAUAACUGACGCUGAAGCACGAAAGCGUGGGUAUCGAACAGGAUUAGAUACCCUGGUAGUCCACGCAGUAAACGAUGAAUACUCACCGUUUGCGAUAUAAUGUAAGCGGUAAAGCGAAAGCGUUUAAGUAUUCCACCUGGGGAGUACGCCGG
This 846-nucleotide ribosomal RNA is filed under the name uncultured bacterium. Its description in RNAcentral is "bacterial SSU rRNA". It matches the Rfam family "Bacterial small subunit ribosomal RNA", at positions 53 to 888 of the family's 1533-position model. The record is from RNAcentral.